RNAcentral lists this ribosomal RNA (497 nucleotides) under uncultured bacterium. RNAcentral's name for it is "partial 16S ribosomal RNA". It matches the Rfam family "Bacterial small subunit ribosomal RNA", at positions 28 to 507 of the family's 1533-position model. The record is from RNAcentral.
GAUGAACGCUGGCGGCGUGCCUAAUACAUGCAAGUCGAGCGAAGAGACGAGGAGCUUGCUCCUCUGACGUUAGCGGCGGACGGGUGAGUAACACGUGGAUAACCUACCUAUAAGACUGGGAUAACUUCGGGAAACCGGAGCUAAUACCGGAUAAUAUCUUGAACCGCAUGGUUCAAUAGUGAAAGACGGUUUUGCUGUACCUAAUAGAUGGAUCCGCGCCGCUUUGGCUGGUUGGUAAGGUAACGGCCUACAAAGGCAUGGAUGCGUAGCCAACCUGAAGGGUGGUUCGGCCACACGGGACCUGAGACCGGGUCCAGCCCCCUCGGGAAGGCACCAGAAGGGAAUCUUCCGCAUGGGGCGAAAUCCUGACGGGCCAAGGCGGCGUGGGGGAGAAAGGUCUUCGGAUCGUAAAACUCUGUUAUUGGGGAAGACCAAAGGUGUAAGGAACUGUGCACGUAUUGACGGUAACUAAUCAGAAAGCCACGGCUAACUACGUG